CCAACCUUCCAUCACCAGGUUACGCCUGAGGGGGACCAGACACACAGUUACACCCCCUUCCAUCACCAGGUUACGCCUGAGGGGGACCAGACACACAGUUACACCCCCUUCCAUCACCAGGUUACGCCUGAGGGGGACCAGACACACAGUUACACCCCCUUCCAUCACCAGGUUACGCCUGAGGGGGACCAGACACACAGUUACACCCCCUUCCAUCACCAGGUUACGCCUGAGGGGGACCAGACACACAGUUACACCCCCUUCCAUCACCAGGUUACGCCUGAGGGGGACCAGACACACAGUUACACCCCCUUCCAUCACCAGGUUACGCCUGAGGGGGACCAGACACACAGUUACACCCCCUUCCAUCACCAGGUUACGCCUGAGGGGGACCAGACACACAGUUACACCCCCUUCCAUCACCAGGUUACGCCUGAGGGGGACCAGACACACAGUUACACCCCCUUCCAUCACCAGGUUACGCCUGAGGGGGACCAGACACACAGUUACACCCCCUUCCAU
Long non-coding RNA from Oncorhynchus keta (chum salmon), 522 nucleotides. RefSeq lists it as uncharacterized. NCBI's taxonomy places the organism in Eukaryota, Metazoa, Chordata, Actinopteri, Salmoniformes, Salmonidae. The transcript has 4 exons. The record is from RefSeq and is a predicted model, not a curated record.